UUUUUGAAAAACUCUAACCUGGGUUAGAAGCGGAGGAACCAAUGUAUUGGGGCGAAUCUUGAAUGGAGAGACACCUUCCAGUCUUAGCCCGUCAGCUAACUCCGUCGGCAUUGGAAGGAGUACCU
This 125-nucleotide small RNA is filed under the name Scytonema tolypothrichoides. Its description in RNAcentral is "c-di-AMP sequence". It matches the Rfam family "c-di-AMP riboswitch aptamer (ydaO/yuaA leader)". Rfam says of the family: This family represents a conserved RNA structure found upstream of the ydaO and yuaA genes in Bacillus subtilis and related genes in other bacteria. Lineage: Bacteria; Bacillati; Cyanobacteriota; Cyanophyceae; Nostocales; Scytonemataceae. The record is from RNAcentral.